AUUGCAAAAGCUCAGUAGGGGUGAAUGAUGAAUCUAUGGAGUCUAGUAGGGAUAGAGACUGUUGUAAGACCUUUCAAGUUAGCAUUCUAGUAAAACAGUAGGAAGCUAGAGGAAUCUGGGAAGGACUAAAGCUUCAGCCUGUGGUGAAGCCUUUAAUAUCUGGGGCCUCAAACAGUUUAUCCAGAAUCCCUCUGUCAUCCGCCUCUCUGCCUGUUGUGUAUGAUUAGUGUGGCCUCACCCUCCAUGAAGUAGAGCAGCCAGACUGAGUUGCUCUGUAUUUCAUCUGCAUAUACAUUUUUGGAGGACCCUAGGACACGUGUCAAGAAGUAUCUGGAGUACAUAUGCAUACUGAGCAGAGCUGAGCUAUGGGGUCACCAAGACUUGAAAUGCUGUUGACUCUCCUGAGGCACAGCCCAAUGUACUAAAAGCCCAAAUUAAAGCAAGAGGAAAGUGCAAACAAUCAAAAGGACAGCAACUUCACUAUUCUGAAGUAUCUUCAAGAUGUUCUUUCUGCUACAAUCAGUGCAAGAAAAAGGAACAUAAGUUUUGCUCCAAGAAUAAUUUAUAUAAUUGUUUACAUUUCAAGUAAUCCAAAAUAAAGUUUUAAUUGAUCUCCUCUUCCCCCCCCCCUUCUUUCUUCUCUUAGGU
This is a long non-coding RNA of Alligator sinensis (Chinese alligator), 648 nucleotides long. RefSeq lists it as uncharacterized. The record is from RefSeq and is a predicted model, not a curated record. The transcript is spliced from 3 exons. NCBI's taxonomy places the organism in Eukaryota, Metazoa, Chordata, Crocodylia, Alligatoridae.